ACUAGAACUGUCUCAGUAUACCGGGGUGUAUUUACAGAAGGAAUUAUUCAGUAGUUAUUGUGAGAUUUGUUUGUAUCUAUUGAUGAUUUGACAUCUUUACAAUGUAUACAUAUAGAUUUGACAUCUUUACAAUGUAUACAUAUAGAUUUGACAUCUUUACAAUGUAUACAUAUAGAUUUGACAUCUUUACAAUGUAUACAUAUAGAUUUGACAUCUUUACAAUGUAUACAUAUAGAGGGAUUGUCCAUACCUGACCCCAGAGGUUGCUAAUGGUUCCAGGAAAUUUAUGAAAAGUGUUGACUAUACUAGGGUCUUUAAUUAGACCAAUUUGUUUUUUUAGUGAUUACUUCAUAUUUACAUUUAUUACAAUGUUGUGGAUUGUAAGUUCUGUUUGCAGUGCUGAAUAUCCAUAAGUAUUUGAAGUUUUGUCUUUGAAUUGAAUUAUGUGUGAUUGUACUUUUGAAAUUUGAACAUUACUAUGAUUAACUAAAUUUACUUGGUAAAGUGAGUAAUGAAUGACACAAUCUAUUGAUUUUAUGUUUCACAUAAAUGGAGUAAACCUACUGGUCGCUUUUAUGAAGAUCCAACAUAUUUGGACACUUUAUUUAACUUGAAAAUUUUGUCUGGAAUCAAAGAGGCUGGCUGGGUUAAUGAGGCUCCUCUGCAUGUGCUCAUUUUUGCAUGAAUUCACAUUUGUCUCAUUGCUUAUUUACACCCAAAAAUUUCAGACACCUAGGUGGUCAAUUUUGAGCAGUCCAUUUCAUAAUGAAAUUCUAUAUGGCUAGGAUAUUGAAAUACAACCUUGUUUCAAAUGUAAAAAUGACCCAGAAUGAAAAGUGAAGAUAACGAACAGUGAUCAAUCCCAUAAGGAACUCACAAUUAGGGGUAGGGCAAACACGGAACCCUGGACACCCCAGAUUGAGUGGGAUCAGGAGGAGACUAAGCAUCCUCUGUUGAUUGGUCACACCUGCUAUAAGCCCUUUAUCUUGAUUAGGAGAAAUUCCCCUGCUAGUCUUCUCCCUGGUGCCAUUAUCAAUAUUUUCAGAGUCAGCUAAGUUUUAUGCUUUAUAUGUGAUAUGGAAAGUGAAGAUAAUGAACAGUGAUCAAUCUCGUAAUACAUUUCAGUAAUGAGUGUAUAGCAUAUUAUAUCUACUGUAUGCAGAAGAAUUUUGCACUGUUUGAAAUCAAUUUUGCUCCAUUUUGAAUUUAGUCAACAUUGCUUUCUGCUUCUUCAGAAGAAUGAGUAAAUUUCAAUUCAGCAAAUUUUUAAUUUCGCCAUGUGGGAUGAGGACGAAAUGGGCAAAAAUAAAAUGGGUAAAAAUUUUCCUGUCUACUUUGGAUGAUUUGUAACCAGUGAGACAUGCUGAUCGAAUUACCAAUGAAAAAUCUAAAUAUAAAAUCAAUUAAAUGAAAAUGACACAAGGACUUUAGACACAGCAUUACAUAUACUUGGGCUUGAAAGGAACUCUACCAAAUGUACGUCUAGAUAUCAUCUUUUUACUUCCUUCAUUUCAUCAAAAUAAUUAUCCCUCUGUUUAUUCAUAGGAAUAUCAUGAUUUGAAAAGCUUGAAAUCCAUAGCAUGUAUAUGUUUUUGUUUAAUAUUGUUUGUAACGAUGAACAUUCUUGAUUUAGUGAAAGUGACUCAGUUACUAUGUGAUAAGGAAAUUUGCACUUUCAUUAACAUACUUUAACCCUGGAUUCCUUAUUUGGAUGGGAGUUAGUACUCCAUUAUUUGAAAUGCAAGGAAAUCUUCCAAAAUUUCAUGUGUUGCGUAGCAACAGGUCAAGGGAUUCCCCCCUCAAUUUGGACCCAAGUCCGGGACAGGACAAUGUUAACCAUGAUUGUGAGUUGGAGAAUUACAGACUGUGUGCCGACGGCAGUUGUAUAUCUCAAGUGGACCUCUGUCCUGAGGAGCAGUUGAUGAACCAGAACACUAUCCUGAUAAUGAUUGUGGUGGGACUGGCGGUAGUCAUCUUUCUCAUUGUAUUGUACUGCUUCCAGCAGAGAAACAGAAGUCCAUCUCAUUCCAGAGGGCGGUCAGUUAUGAGUAGUGGAACAAAUGGUGAUGAAGGAGACCAGAUAUCAUUAUUCUUACCACCUCCCACCUACGAUGAAGUGAUCACAACAAACUUAUACCCUCCCACGCCUCAGAUGUUACAAAGAAGGGUUUGUGUUACCAGUAAACACAUAGAUUACAAAUAUCAUUAUUCUUACCACCUCCCACCUACGAUGAAGUGAUCACAACAAACUUAUACCCUCCCACGCCUCAGAUGUUACAAAGAAGGGUUUGUGUUACCAGUAAACACAUAGAUUACAAAUAUCAUUAUUCUUACCACCUCCCACCUACGAUGAAGUGAUCACAACAAACUUAUACCCUCCCACGCCUCAGAUGUUACAAAGAAGGGUUUGUGUUACCAGUAAACACAUAGAUUACAAAUAUCAUUAUUCUUACCACCUCCCACCUACGAUGAAGUGAUCACAACAAACUUAUACCCUCCCACGCCUCAGAUGUUACAAAGAAGGGUUUGUGUUACCAGUAAACACAUAGAUUACAAAUAUCAUUAUUCUUACCACCUCCCACCUACGAUGAAGUGAUCACAACAAACUUAUACCCUCCCACGCCUCAGAUGUUACAAAGAAGGGUUUGUGUUACCAGUAAACACAUAGAUUACAAAUAUCAUUAUUCUUACCACCUCCCACCUACGAUGAAGUGAUCACAACAAACUUAUACCCUCCCACGCCUCAGAUGUUACAAAGAAGGGUUUGUGUUACCAGUAAACACAUAGAUUACAAAUAUCAUUAUUCUUACCACCUCCCACCUACGAUGAAGUGAUCACAACAAACUUAUACCCUCCCACGCCUCAGAUGUUACAAAGAAGGGACAGGGUAGUGUCCAAUGAGGAACCACCAAUGACUCCUCCCCCAAACUAUGACACAGCCCUAGUUCUCCUAUCCAAAAGCCACGAGUCAGUGUUGUCACCAAAUUGUGAUGCAGUGGCCAAGAGACCUUCUGUCAGUAAUGGUCAUCGAAGGAGUCUCUCAGCUGACCACUUAAGUCCCAAUUCAGGAGACACUAGUGUUCAGAUAUUUCAGUUCAACGAGACUGCUGAACCUAACCCUGACAAAACAAAUCUCAACAUGAUAUCUGAGGUGAGGUGACGAACAUAAAAUGUUCUUAAGGAAUUUUUCAGUGGAUCAUUCAGCAUGGAUUCAUGAAGAUAUUCAGCAUAGGUUCCAAGAAUCCGAAAGAUUUGCCAAAAUCCGUAUGACUUGACUUCAUAGGCUACAACAGGUGUGGCAAAAUAUGGACCUGAUUUUCAUAAAUUAAUAUUUUAUGUGUUUAAGAUUUACGUUAUCAAGAUGAAGUUAUUUUGUUAAAACUUUAUUACAGAAUACUAAUUCUAAGGACAUACAGUACUGGUAUUGUGUAAAUCAUGCCAUAUGUGAAAGAGAAAUUGAGUGUUAAGAAUAGUGUAUUUCACCUGAAAAUUUGUGUGUAUUUUUGUAUCUCAGAAGUUCAAUGGUGGAACUUGUAAUUAAUACCAUUUUUUGCCUGGACCAAUAUGAUGCAUUUAAUGUAUUGUUGAUGUUUUUGUCAAGACUGUGAUCUAUUGAUUUUGUGAAUCAAAAUACGCAUUACUGAAGACAUUAUUGGGAACUAUAAUUUUGAUUUUUUAUACACUAUGUACAUUCAUCUUUUACUCAUUCAUCCAUCCAUCUUUUCGCAUUUUUGUGUCCAGAUCAUAUCUUUCUCGCUGUGAGGCAUAGGACCGUCUAACUUGGUCAGUUGAUUCAUUUUGGGGGAAGUUGUGUUUCGAAGUUACUGUGGCCUCCGUCUGGAAUCAUAUGGUUAUACAUGCUCAAAUCUUGUCUGGAUCAUGUCUUUCACACUGUGAGGUGUUGGACCAUCAAACUUGGUGCUUGUAUCUUCUGGGAAGGGGGGGGGUGUCGUGAACCAAAAGUAGGUCACUCACUGUAGCCUCAUUUUCGAAUUUUAUGGUUAUUCAUACACAUGUACCAGUACAAAUUUUGUCUUGAUCACAUCUUGCUGAUUCUUGCACAUCAUGAGGCCCAGGACUUUUAAAUCUGGUCACUUGAUGCAUCGUGGGAGGAAGGUGUGUCGUGACCCAGAAAUAUGUUGCUGCAGUCUCAUUUUGGAAAUGUAAUUGACAGCUUGUGAUUUCAAACAUGCAAAUCGACAUGCAUCCCGUACAUUUAGCUACAGAUGAGUAUGUCGUGUAAACUAGCAGUACACUUUGUUUGUACAUGUGCAAGUACAAAAAACAUGUAUAUAUUCCUCCAAAAAAUGUUUGAAAUAUAUGGUGGUUUUUCUGUGUGCCUUUUACAGAUUUAAACUAUUCCUAGUUAGAAAAAGAUUAUAUGCCAUAAGAUGUAUACCACAUAUAUUUUAUAAUAAUAAUGAUAGAAUUUAUAUAGCGCUUUAUAUAAAACAAACUCUAAGGUGCUUUACAAUGGUAAGAAGAGGAAUGUGACAAUAAAACACAAAGUGACAAUUAAAUGAAAUUUAAUGACAGUAUAUCAUAAGAUCUUGUAUAUUUUCAAACUGCUGAUCAAAUGUUCCAUGCACUAGAAUAGAGAGAUGUUUAUUUAUGAUAAAGGUAUUUAUGACUUGAUAGAGCUUUAAUAUUUUCAUCAUUUUGUUUUACAAAUAUGCAUCCACAUUAGGGGAUAAUUGGAACAGAUUGUUGAAACUCAGUUGACAAUCAUCAGUCAUUUGGAUUGCAUAGUAUUAUUAAUUUACAUUGGGUUUUUUUUUUUUUUGGUUUGGGGGAGGGGUACCAUAAAUGGAAUAAAAAAACAGAUGUACUGAAAAGAUUUGCCUCUGUGACCAUAUGAAUAAUUUUAUCCUUCAUAUGCACCAAUGUCAUACAGGUAAAGUUUGUUACAGUUAGUAGAUUAUCUUCCAAUAUUAAGCAAUCUUGUUUGGAAAUAGUUUGAAAACUCGGUGCUUUUUAGAUUUGUAUUUGUAAAAGGGAAAAUGUGCAAUUCAUAGACAUAAUAUCUAAAUACACGUAAUGACCUGAUUUUCAUAUAAGUAAAGGAACUACGCAGUUUAUGUAGGAAUAGUGAUCUGUUUUGCACCGAGCCAGUCUUCAUUGUGUAGAGUAAUAGAAAAAAAAAUAGAUGUGGUAUCAACAAUAUUUAUAUUUACUACAUGUAGUAUUUAUUUUUACCAAUGGUUUGUCAAUACAUAUAAUAAUUCUUUGCUAGUUCAAUAUUUAUGUAUCCUCACAAUAUAUAUAUAUAUAUAUAUAUAAAGAAUAAGCAUCUUGCUUGUGUUAUAGCGGAUUAUAAACCAUGGAAGCCUGAUGUAAGUUUUGUAUAACUGGCUUCCCUGAUGAUACAAUUUAUCCCAUGUUUCAUUGUUUAUAAUCCCCUAUAAUAGAAACAACCAAGAUGUUUAUUCCUCAAACGUUUUCCCCACUAUGUACAACAGAAUCAUGUCUAUAUCAUGUAGAUACACUCUCAGCUCAAUUCAAAUGUGAUGUCAUCAUUCUCUAGCGUUAAGUCUUGAACUAAACACGAGUUUCUACCAGACAUGAUGUUGUUCCAUUUCGGUCACAAAAAUAAAUAUAUGAAACAAGGUAUUCUUAAAACAUUAGUAUUAUAAAUAGAUACAGUGGAUUCGUGAUCAGAGCUCCAUCUGAUCAUGUGACUGAAUGAUCCUUGUCGUGUAGAUGUUUUAAAAUGAUAUCUUAUCAGCCUUGGAUAUGUUUUACAGUUGCAUAAAAUUCAGCUGGAUUGGUAAGAUUAAAAUGUGUACAACAUGUAACUAUUGUUCACUGUGCUCCUUUUUACAUGUAUAUAAAACUUGAUCAAUUUGCUUUCAAAACAUAUAGUCAGAAAUAAUCAGAUUUGCAGUUUCUUUUUUGUGCCAAAUAAUUUACAGAAAAUCCCAAAUAAAUGCUAGUUUAUAUAUAACGUACUUCUCCAUCCCACACUUGUGUCAUCUGAGGCAUAGCAGCAACACUAGUUGAUUAAUACCCUUUAUCAUUACGAUCUUUAUGUCUCCAUUUUAAAUGACAGUUAUUCUACCCAGUAUUUACUACCACCAGGCUGUAUAGGAUGUUUAAAGUACAGGUUCUUUUAUGAUUAAAAGAACAGAUUCUAUAUGAAGUUUUGAAGAUGAAGUAGUGUAAAUUAGUUUUACUUAUGGAGAUACUUAUUUUCUCACUAGUCUUGUGAUUUUGAACUUGAGGGGGGGGGGGGGGGAUCAACUUCUCAUGAUAUGUGGGUUUUUUUUUGGUGCAAUAUCUAUGUGUAUAUAAAUGUUGAUCUCGUGAAAAUAAAGUCUCAUGGAAAUUUCCUGAUUUACAAUAUAUUGAAUGAAUCAGUAUCUGUCUGAACUGAAGCAUAAUAUUUCAUAUAAGUAUAAUAAUGUUUUGAAUGUUUGAUUUUGUAAUUUAUUGUCAUCAUAUGGUGUGAUAGCUAGUAGAUGCUGUACUUAUGACUGCCGGGUUACAACUAAUAUGUUAUUUCCCUUCUACAUGUACUUCGUUUUCUUAAUUUACUUUGCAUGUAGUUAUAUACAUUUCUGUAAAUGUUAUACAUGUAUAAGUUUAAUGACUCAAUUUGCAAGGAUGCUCCUUUAAUGCAUAAAAGAGCUAUAUAUAGAUUUUGCUUUCAUAUGUGUGUUAAAGCAAAUAUUUAUGAAGUAGUUGUGCAUACUGAUUCUGAAUGAAUUAUAUCUGUAUAUUUUGUGUGUAUGUUAGUAUGUGAUGGAAUAAGAAUGCCAAAGUAUAAACAGAUCCAUUGUUGUAUUUUAUUAAAUUGAUAUUUUCUCAAGUCUCA
Ostrea edulis (European flat oyster) is the source of this 6814-nucleotide RNA transcript. RefSeq lists it as uncharacterized. The transcript is spliced from 5 exons. Lineage: Eukaryota; Metazoa; Mollusca; Bivalvia; Ostreida; Ostreidae. The record is from RefSeq and is a predicted model, not a curated record.